RNAcentral lists this transfer RNA (58 nucleotides) under Bos taurus (domestic cattle). It matches the Rfam family "tRNA", at positions 8 to 63 of the family's 71-position model. From Rfam's summary of the family: Transfer RNA (tRNA) molecules are approximately 80 nucleotides in length. Their secondary structure includes four short double-helical elements and three loops (D, anti-codon, and T loops). Lineage: Eukaryota; Metazoa; Chordata; Mammalia; Artiodactyla; Bovidae. The record is from Rfam by way of RNAcentral. RNAcentral also lists the same sequence under 3 other names.
UAGCUCAGUUGGUAUAGAAUCUGCCUGCAAUGCAGGAGACCCCGGGUUCGAUUCCUGG